CCAAGGCGAAGACGGGUAGCUGGUCUGAGAGGAUGAUCAGCCACACUGGCACUGGAACACGGGCCAGACUCCUACGGGAGGCAGCAGUGAGGAAUAUUGGACAAUGGGCGAAAGCCUGAUCCAGCCAUGCCGCGUGGGUGAAGAAGGCCUUCGGGUUGUAAAGCCCUUUUGUUGGGGAAGAAAUCCUGCUGGCUAAUACCCGGCGGGGAUGACGGUACCCAAAGA
RNAcentral lists this ribosomal RNA (225 nucleotides) under uncultured bacterium. RNAcentral describes it as "partial 16S ribosomal RNA". It matches the Rfam family "Bacterial small subunit ribosomal RNA", at positions 268 to 485 of the family's 1533-position model. The record is from RNAcentral.